Molecule: ribosomal RNA, 746 nt
Filed under: uncultured Bacillus sp.
Lineage: Bacteria; Bacillati; Bacillota; Bacilli; Caryophanales; Bacillaceae
Description: bacterial SSU rRNA
Rfam family: Bacterial small subunit ribosomal RNA
Source: RNAcentral
CAAGUCGAGCGAAUCUUUAGGAGCUUGCUCCUAAANAUUAGCGGCGGACGGGUGAGUAACACGUGGGCAACCUGCCUAUAAGACUGGGAUAACUUCGGGAAACCGGAGCUAAUACCAGAUAAUUCUUUUCUACUCAUGUAGAAAAGCUGAAAGACGGUUUACACUGUCACUUAUAGAUGGGCCCGCGGCGCAUUAGCUAGUUGGUGAGGUAACGGCUCACCAAGGCCACGAUGCGUAGCCGACCUGAGAGGGUGAUCGGCCACACUGGGACUGAGACACGGCCCAGACUCCUACGGGAGGCAGCAGUAGGGAAUCUUCCGCAAUGGACGAAAGUCUGACGGAGCAACGCCGCGUGAGUGAUGAAGGUUUUCGGAUCGUAAAACUCUGUUGUUAGGGAAGAACAAGUACGAGAGUAACUGCUCGUACCUUGACGGUACCUAACCAGAAAGCCACGGCUAACUACGUGCCAGCAGCCGCGGUAAUACGUAGGUGGCAAGCGUUGUCCGGAAUUAUUGGGCGUAAAGCGCGCGCAGGCGGUCCUUUAAGUCUGAUGUGAAAGCCCACGGCUCAACCGUGGAGGGUCAUUGGAAACUGGGGGACUUGAGUGCAGGAGAGAAGAGUGGAAUUCCACGUGUAGCGGUGAAAUGCGUAGAGAUGUGGAGGAACACCAGUGGCGAAGGCGACUCUUUGGCCUGUAACUGACGCUGAGGCGCGAAAGCGUGGGGAGCAAACAGGAUUAGAUACCC